This 301-nucleotide ribosomal RNA is filed under the name uncultured bacterium. RNAcentral describes it as "partial 16S ribosomal RNA". It matches the Rfam family "Bacterial small subunit ribosomal RNA", at positions 512 to 810 of the family's 1533-position model. The record is from RNAcentral.
CAGCCGCGGUAAUACGAAGGGUGCAAGCGUUACUCGGAAUUACUGGGCGUAAAGCGUGCGUAGGUGGUGGUUUAAGUCCGUUGUGAAAGCCCUGGGCUCAACCUGGGAAUUGCAGUGGAUACUGGGUCACUAGAGUGUGGUAGAGGAUAGUGGAAUUUCCGGUGUAGCAGUGAAAUGCGUAGAGAUCGGAAGGAACAUCUGUGGCGAAGGCGACUAUCUGGGCCAACACUGACACUGAGGCACGAAAGCGUGGGGAGCAAACAGGAUUAGAUACCCCAGUAGUCCCUGUCUCUUAUACACU